Molecule: long non-coding RNA, 845 nt
Organism: Musa acuminata AAA Group (dessert banana)
Lineage: Eukaryota; Viridiplantae; Streptophyta; Magnoliopsida; Zingiberales; Musaceae
Exons: 2
Source: RefSeq, a predicted model, not a curated record
GGACAUGUAGGGCUGCUGCUUUCCGAUCUUCCAGUCUUCCUCUUAUCCUUUGGUGUUUCCAAGCCACUAGCAACCGCAAUAAAAGGAUCACUUCACGCCAUGCGUGAACGCGACGGUAAUAGACUACGAUCCGAUAUCGUCAAACCAUUUGUGGAAAGGAGAGAUUCCCAUGACGUCAUUGCCAUGGCGGAAACCCACUCCUCGCCCCCUAUAAAUCUGCCCUCCUGCAGCAAUCGUAUGCGCAUCACGGGAGGAUGAAGAGAGGCGACGUCGUCGUGCACGGCCAUGGAUUCCUCCUCUUCGCGCUGGUCGUCCUUUUCCUCGUCACUUGUUUUCUCCUACCACCGGCUGCCGACGCACGAGCGGCUCCGUCGGAGAAGAAAGACAACUCGGCGUCUGCCGAAAAGGGAGGCGUCGUCAAAACGUACCCAGCCAUGUCAACCAGAAAACUACAGUCGUCAUGCCCACCAAAUACUCCGAUCAGCUACUGCGCGUUAGAUCCUAACCAUCCUGUGCCAGUUCCGCCUUCGCCAUGCCGACAAAACGGGGUUUACCGCUGCUCGCCAAGUAGUUCGCCACCGCCGCCGCCGCCAUGACAGGCUAUAUAUAUAUAUAUAUAUAUAUAUAUCCUGCGAUGGUAUUGAGCUGAAUCGAGAUACGUGCGUCCGUGUCGUGCAGAUCCUUGGACGAGAAACAGGUUGAAGAAAGUAGUGGCUAAACAUAAUAAGAAUAAAUUCGCUAGCUGGAUGUGCGGGGUAUCAAACAGUAUACUGUGUGAACUACGGCUUCAGAAGGAUGCUUGAAACGUAUUUAUAUAUUAUAUAUAUAUAUAUGUCUUGCUUUCC